GUGAGGUUAGCUUAGCGGCGCUGGGGCAGGUAAAGGAAUACCCUCUGAAAACGCCGCAGUAGCAAAGCCAGUGAACCGUCCUUAAUUUCACUUCUUUAAAAGCGAAAAUAAGAUGGAAUUCAGCCUUUUCCGCCUUAGCAUGGCCCUUGAAGAAUUUGCUGGAGACGGCUCUGUUCUGCAGGAGGUUAAACCAAGAUGAGAGACGAAAAGUAACUCAUCAAAAGUCCAACACUUACUCAGAGGUUAAGCCCGGGAGAUUCUAAUUGCCCAUCAAAGACUGUGUCUGUUAAGGACUGGAAUGACACAGAGAGGACUGGACAAAGGGCUGUCGGAGCCAGACUGGGGGGCACUGCACGGGAACAUUCCCUCUUCUCUCCUGGCCCUGCACCUACCCUGAAGCUGCAACCAGAACAGGAAUUAAGCUCCUAAAAUGCCACGGAAAACUGGUUUCUGGUGAGGACCUGGGAAA
Molecule: long non-coding RNA, 469 nt
Organism: Myotis lucifugus (little brown bat)
Lineage: Eukaryota; Metazoa; Chordata; Mammalia; Chiroptera; Vespertilionidae
Exons: 3
Source: RefSeq, a predicted model, not a curated record